Molecule: ribosomal RNA, 468 nt
Filed under: uncultured bacterium
Lineage: Bacteria
Description: partial 16S ribosomal RNA
Rfam family: Bacterial small subunit ribosomal RNA
Source: RNAcentral
GACGAACGCUGGCGGCGUGCUUAACACAUGCAAGUCGAACGGUAAGGCCCUGCUUUUGUGGGGUGCUCGAGUGGCGAACGGGUGAGUAACACGUGAGUAACCUGCCCUUGACUUUGGGAUAACUUCAGGAAACUGGGGCUAAUACCGGAUAGGAGCUCCUGCUGCAUGGUGGGGGUUGGAAAGUUUCGGCGGUUGGGGAUGGACUCGCGGCUUAUCAGCUUGUUGGUGGGGUAGUGGCUUACCAAGGCUUUGACGGGUAGCCGGCCUGAGAAGGUGACCGGCCACAUUGGGACUGAGAUACUGCCCGGACUCCUACUGGAGGCAGCAGUAGGGAAUAUUGCACAAUGGGCGGAAGCCUGAUGCAGCAACGCCGCGUGCGGGAUGACGGCCUUCGGGUUGUAAACCGCUUUCGCCUGUGACGAAGCGUUAGUGACGGUAAUGGGUAAAGAAGCACCGGCUAACUACGUG